This 513-nucleotide ribosomal RNA is filed under the name uncultured bacterium. Its description in RNAcentral is "bacterial SSU rRNA". It matches the Rfam family "Bacterial small subunit ribosomal RNA", at positions 17 to 518 of the family's 1533-position model. The record is from RNAcentral.
UCCUGGCUCAGGAUGAACGCUAGCUACAGGCUUAACACAUGCAAGUCGAGGGGCAGCAUUGGGAUAGCUUGCUAUUCAGAUGGCGACCGGCGCACGGGUGAGUAACGCGUAUCCAACCUUCCUGCCAGUAGGGAACAGCCCGGCGAAAGUCGGAUUAAUGCCCUAUGUUCUUCAAUGCGGACAUCUAAGUUGAAGGAAAGAUUCAUCGCUGGCAGAUGGGGAUGCGUCCGAUUAGCUUGCCGGCGGGGUAACGGCCCACCGGGGCGACGAUCGGUAGGGGUUCUGAGAGGAAGGUCCCCCACACUGGUACUGAGACACGGACCAGACUCCUACGGGAGGCAGCAGUGAGGAAUAUUGGUCAAUGGGCGUAAGCCUGAACCAGCCAAGUAGCGUGCAGGGAAUGACGGCCCUACGGGUUGUAAACUGCUUUUAUGCGGGGAUAAAGUGCGGCACGUGUGCCGCUUUGCAGGUACCGCAUGAAUGAGGACCGGCUAAUUCCGUGCCAGCCGCAGC